Ribosomal RNA from Ochotona princeps (American pika), 112 nucleotides. Lineage: Eukaryota; Metazoa; Chordata; Mammalia; Lagomorpha; Ochotonidae. The record is from Ensembl.
GUCUACAGCCAUACCACCCUGAACGCUCCCGAUCUCGUCUGAUCUCGGAAGCUAAGCAGGGUUGGGCCUGGUUAGUACUUGGAUUGGAGAUACCAGCCAAAAUGGUCAGACA